ACCUCUCCUCUCGUUUCUCCUCCCCCAAGACCCUCAGACCUCUCCCUCCCUCCAGUGACGGCCGCCGGCGGGAAGGCCCCGAGAGGGAGUGAGAGCGGACGGGUGAGUGGGAACGACUUGGCAGCCACCUGGGCACCAGCGAGCAUCAAAGGGUUAAGCGGGGCCCACGAACAGCGGGCUCGCCUGGCCACUCCCCAGCCACAAACUUUGGCUGCGCGGUUUGCGUCUCGGGUCCUUUCUGUCACCACCGAGCCCACGCUCGCCUGCCCGGCCCGGCCCGGCCCAGCCCUGCCCUGCCCUGCCCUGCCCUGCUCAGGGCUGCGUCUCAGGGAGCUGGCCUCCCCUCGCGCAGCAUCCUCUUGGCCCCGGAGCCGCCGCUGGCCGGAUCCGAGGCCGAUCCCGGCCCCUGCGGCCACGGCCAGGGGCCGAGGAGAAAAGUUGGCCACCCCAGAGCCUCCGGGUAUCCGGGACUCGAACACACGCAUCGCUGCAAUUGAACAGACUAUCCGGAGCCCUCCUACCCUGUGCUGAGCUGCAUCUGAUUGGCUGUGGCGAUAUGUGCGUUUCGUUAACUUCUGCCCAUUGACAUAUUAAAUGAAGAUGCACAGGGGAGCGACAUCAGUGAUUUCAAUUGACUCGUCAAUUGCCAGUACAUAGCCCUCAUCAGGCUUCGCUUUGCUAACAAGCUGAUCCAGCACAUGUGACAACAAGGAGGCCAGUCCUUCAAACAAAUGACAUGUUUGAUAAAGAAAUCUUUUCAAACUCAUUAUGCGUUUCGUUUAGCUUUUGUCUUUUGCCCUAGUAUAGCAUCUGUUGCAGGAGGCAUCCGUCCCUUCCUUGAUCGUUGCUGCAUCUUCUGUGAUUGGAGUGUCUUGUCUGCUAAGAGAUGGGAAGUGUAGCUUCUGUUUGUCCCUGUUGUAACGUUGGACUCUGGCCUCUCUGCCUUCCUCAGCUGAGAUUUAAUCUUGUGAAUGAGGCUGCCUUAAGGCAUUAUCCUAAGAUUCUCUAAUAAAAAGGCAAUGUCCUGGAAGAGCUAGGGGUGGAGGGAAGAGUGCCUCUCUGUAAUCUAGGAGCCUUCGAGAAGGAAAUCUGGGGGUUUUUGGCCCACGUGGUAACACAGAGGUGAUAAAACUUCCCAUUGCUUUUGUGAGGCUUGGACAAUUGCAGAGAUGAAAAAUCACAGUUGUGUUGUAAAUAAGAUGUUUGCAAUUCCCUCCUUGGGGAGUAGUGUUUAACUUCAUCUUUUGCUUAUGUGCACGAAACUAAAUACAUGCGUAUGUCUGGAUUCUGGAUUGCAUGCAUCUGGCUCCAUUAGAUUUCAUGUAAUUGCAUAUUGACUAAUGGCAUAAUACAGCUAUUUGACGACUGAAUUGAGGUCCAAAUGCUGCUAUUAGCAGUGUAAUCACUUUGGAUAAGUGAAUAGUUGGACUGUAGUACUUGAAAAUCAGAAACCGGGAGAAUAACCGUUCCGGGGUUUUCAAGGGAAAAGACCCAUUGUAACGUUUUGACUCAGAUGUAAACUAUUAUGAAUUCUAAUUUGUAGGUCAUGAGGAAAAGUAAUUGUGGUAAUUGUGAGACCUCUCAAUGCUUCAAAACUAAUGCCCUGUGCUGUCUUUUCAUUGCUUAUAUAUAAUAUAUAUGUAUGUAUAUAAACAUUUUCUUUUGCGAGUGAAGUGAUUUCAGAGUCUACAUGUGCUAUAAAUCUUUUAAUUAAAUAUGAAAUCUUUUGGAAAAGGUAAUUAUGUAUUUGUUUUUAAUCUGUGUUCAGUUCUCCGAAUGCACAGCCCGAGGCAAGCUUUGGUUGCUAGCAGAGGUGAUUCAAUAGCCUUGCACUAAUUAAAACAUAUUUGGUGUACAUGAAGUCAUCAGUAAUAG
Molecule: long non-coding RNA, 1875 nt
Organism: Sarcophilus harrisii (Tasmanian devil)
Lineage: Eukaryota; Metazoa; Chordata; Mammalia; Dasyuromorphia; Dasyuridae
Source: Ensembl